GUCUUCGGGAUUGUAAAGCACUUUAUGUUGGGAGUGAUGCGCAUUAACCUAUAUACGUUAGUGUUUUGACGUUACCGACAGAAUAAGCACCGGCUAACUCUGUG
RNAcentral lists this ribosomal RNA (104 nucleotides) under uncultured Gammaproteobacteria bacterium. RNAcentral's name for it is "partial 16S ribosomal RNA". The record is from RNAcentral. Lineage: Bacteria; Pseudomonadati; Pseudomonadota; Gammaproteobacteria.